This is a long non-coding RNA of Amphiprion ocellaris (clown anemonefish), 1698 nucleotides long. NCBI's taxonomy places the organism in Eukaryota, Metazoa, Chordata, Actinopteri, Pomacentridae. The record is from Ensembl.
AUUGUUUCAACCUUUAUUAAACAUAGCUUGCAAGAGAUAAAUAUUACAAAGUUAUUUCCUCCAAAAUUAGCUUAUUUUUUCAAUCAAUGCAUAAUUGUCAAUCAACUGGCAGUAUUCAAACAGCAUUAUUUUCUUCUACUUUUUUGAAGACCAUUAAAUAUCAAGUAUGUGCAAAAGGUCAGGAUUGAUGUAAGCAAAACUAAAAUGACUCAAAUAGUCUCUGGUCAGCAUCAUCAUUUGUUUUUGAUUCCCAGGAUGUUUAUUUCAAUGUUGUCAACACUAUGCAAAAUGCUUCUACAUGAAAAUUGAUAUAACUGAUUUUGCACUUAAAUCUUUCCCUGCAUUAGCAACAACAACUAAUAGAAUAUAAAGCCAAACAGUACAGGACCAUACAUGUUGUAUGCUGGUGUUGGCAGAAAAAGUGAUCACUGAUUCAGAGCGAACCCUUCACAGGUGAAGCAGGUCGGACCAGGAAACACCUACUGUGAGAGCUUAUUGGCAAAGUCUGACAUACGCGGUUAUAUUCAGUAGACUAUUUUAUGCCAAAAACACAAUAGUGUUACCCCUAGAAUUACAUAUUUCUUAGUGAGGAAAGAAAACAAAAUAGAAAUAGCAUGUAAACAAUGCUAAAAAGCUAGAAUCCUCUUGAAACUUUAUUUGGAUUCUGUCAAUGAUUUUCUGUGUUUAAGCCACUAAUUACCAAUCAUGAUUACUGACCAUUUGUCACUGUCCAUUCAUCAAGUCAAUGAUUUUUUUUGUAUGUUUUAGGAAUCAAUUUCCAUCCUUUGUGCUGCUUACAGUACCACCAGAUGACUUUCCAGAAUCAGUGUCCUUGUUAGAUUUUUCUGUUGAAGAAUCUGUCCCGUGUGUUUGUUGAUUAUUUAUUAACACUGGAACUCUAGAAAUCAUUGAUUUGGAAAUGACUUGUUAUUGUAUCUUACAUCACAAUCAAUUUAGCAUGUACAGCGCAGCAGAGCAACUUUCAGUGGCCGUAGAAAGUCAUUGGCUGCUUGAAUAUGUGGACAUAAGAAAGUGGUCGGCGGUAAUGACUUGCAGCGAACAUCCAAACACUCCAAGGCGUCAGUUUGACUCUGAAUCAAUCAGUUAAGGAGGGUUCAUCUAAUCCAAACAUUCAAAGUGCUUUAAUCUAGAACUUGUUCAGGAAACAAUUCUGUAAGGAACAAAGUUAUUUCAAGCUGCAAAAAUUCAACAGUAGACAAAUGUGUUUCAGACCUGCAGAUUCGAUCACUCUGAACCAGUCAUCACUCCUCUGCAAACGUUAACUAGUCCAAAAUUAAAGCCAAUGCAUCCAGCGAGACUGCUUUAAGAAGCAGAGGGGGGGGGGGAAGAAUCCCAAACAUUUUGCACAUUUGUUACACAAUAAUACACAGUGAUCACAAAACGAAAUGACAAGCUUCACAAUAUUCAUGGCUUUUUGUUUGCUUUUCUACACAAUGUACAACCAUUUAAUUUCUUUUUUCAGUACAAGGGAGGAAAAAAUGCUUAUUUACAAUAAGUCAUUAUUACUUCAAACCUAGCAAAUAUCGUGUCAUUUAUUUCAUAGUCAAUACAUUUAUUUAGUUUUUUAAACUGCAAUAGAAACAAAACAGAACUCAAAUGGGACAUCAGAAUAACAAUGACUUUUGAAAUCUAAGAAUUAAUAUUUGAAAAGAAUCUGUAGUCCAAAUACAAAGGUGU